CGGACGGGUGAGUAAUGCCUAGGAAUCUGCCUGGUAGUGGGGGACAACGUUUCGAAAGGAACGCUAAUACCGCAUACGUCCUACGGGAGAAAGCAGGGGACCUUCGGGCCUUGCGCUAUCAGAUGAGCCUAGGUCGGAUUAGCUAGUUGGUGAGGUAAUGGCUCACCAAGGCGACGAUCCGUAACUGGUCUGAGAGGAUGAUCAGUCACACUGGAACUGAGACACGGUCCAGACUCCUAUGGGAGGCAGCAGCU
This 254-nucleotide ribosomal RNA is filed under the name uncultured Pseudomonas sp. Its description in RNAcentral is "partial 16S ribosomal RNA". It matches the Rfam family "Bacterial small subunit ribosomal RNA", at positions 99 to 355 of the family's 1533-position model. The record is from RNAcentral. Lineage: Bacteria; Pseudomonadati; Pseudomonadota; Gammaproteobacteria; Pseudomonadales; Pseudomonadaceae.